Molecule: ribosomal RNA, 253 nt
Filed under: uncultured bacterium
Lineage: Bacteria
Description: partial 16S ribosomal RNA
Rfam family: Bacterial small subunit ribosomal RNA
Source: RNAcentral
UACGUAGGCAGCGAGCGUUGUUCGGAGUUACUGGGCGUAAAGGGUGUGUAGGCGGUUGUUUAAGUUUGGUGUGAAAUCUCCCGGCUCAACUGGGAGGUGCGCCGAAUACUGAAUGACUAGAGUGCGGGAGAGGAAAGUGGAAUUCCUGGUGUAGCGGUGAAAUGACGUAGAUAUCAGGAGGAACACCGGUGGUGUAGACGGCUUUCUGGACCGUAACUGACGCUGAGACACGAAAGCGUGGGUAGCAAACAGG